This 60-nucleotide transfer RNA is filed under the name Chiropterargas confusus. RNAcentral's name for it is "Argas confusus tRNA-Asn". Lineage: Eukaryota; Metazoa; Arthropoda; Arachnida; Ixodida; Argasidae. The record is from RNAcentral.
UUAAUAGAAGCCAAAAAGAGGCUAUUCACUGUUAAUGAAUCAAUUGUAAGACCUAUUAAG